RNAcentral lists this ribosomal RNA (586 nucleotides) under uncultured bacterium. Its description in RNAcentral is "bacterial SSU rRNA". It matches the Rfam family "Bacterial small subunit ribosomal RNA", at positions 749 to 1341 of the family's 1533-position model. The record is from RNAcentral.
GUUCUAGAACGUGGGGAUAUCAAACAAUAUGAGAUCCUGGAUUGUCCGCAGAAUAAAAGAAACAUUCGGGCUUUUGGCGAUUCACUGUCAGUGCCCAAGAGAAAGCGUUAAGCAUCCCACCUGGGGAGUACGCCGGCAACGGUGAAACUCAAAGGAAUUGACGGGGGCCCGCACAAGCGGAGGAACAUGUGGUUUAAUUUCGAUGAUACGCGAGGAACCUUACCCGGGCUUGAACUGCAAGAGACGGCUACAGGGAUCUGGAGGUCCCUCGGGACUCCUGUGUAGGUGCUGCAUGGUUGUCGUCAGCUCGUGCCGUGAGGUGUCGGCUUAAGUGCCAUAACGAGCGCAACCCCUUUCGCCAGUUACCAUCAGGUGAUGCCGGGCACUCUGGGGAUACUGCCACCGCAAGGUGUGAGGAAGGCGGGGAUGACGUCAAAUCAGCACGGCCCUUACGUCCGGGGCUACACACGUGUUACAAUGGGGGGUACAGAGAGUAGGUGGCACGCGACGCCCUUCCAAUCAUGAAUCUCCCCUCAGUUCGGACUGGAGUCUGCAACCCGACCCCAGAAGCUGGAUUCGCUAGUAA